GCCAGGUACCGGUCUAAGUCCGUUGGAACACGGCGUCAUAGAGGGUGAGAAUCCCGUCUGUGACCGGUGACCGAUCCCAUGCGAAACCCUUUCGACGAGUCGAGUUGUUUGGGAAUGCAGCUCAAAAUGGGUGGUAAAUUUCAUCUAAAGCUAAAUACUGGCUGGAGACCGAUAGCGCACAAGUAGAGUGAUCGAAAGAUGAAAAGCACUUUGGAAAGAGAGUCAAAAAGUACGUGAAAUUGUUGAAAGGGAAGCGCUUGCAACCAGACCUGUCCGUGGGUGAUCAGCCGCCGUUCUCGGUGGUGCACUCGCCUACGAUCAGGCCAGCAUCGGUUCGGGCGGCCGGACAAAGGCCUUGGGAAUGUAGCUCCUCUCGGGGAGUCUUAUAGCCCUCGGUGCAAUGUGGCCAGCCCGGACCGAGGACCGCGCUUCGGCUAGGAUGCUGGCGUAAUGGUUGUAAGCGACCCGUCUUGAAACACGGACCAAGGAGUCUAACAUCUAUGCGAGUGUUUGGGUGUUAAACCCAUACGCGGAAUGAAAGUGAACGGAGGUGAGAACCCUUUAGGGCGCAUCAUCGACCGAUCCAGAUGUCUUCGGAUGGAUUUGAGUAUGAGCAUAGCUGUUGGGACCCGAAAGAUGGUGAACUAUGCCUGAAUAGGGUGAAGCCAGAGGAAACUCUGGUGGAGGCUCGCAGCGGU
Molecule: ribosomal RNA, 698 nt
Filed under: Protoparmelia badia
Lineage: Eukaryota; Fungi; Ascomycota; Lecanoromycetes; Lecanorales; Parmeliaceae
Description: eukaryotic LSU rRNA
Rfam family: Eukaryotic large subunit ribosomal RNA
Source: RNAcentral